Paramuricea clavata is the source of this 3060-nucleotide non-coding RNA. The record is from the annotation of a GenBank genome assembly. NCBI's taxonomy places the organism in Eukaryota, Metazoa, Cnidaria, Anthozoa, Malacalcyonacea, Plexauridae.
AUUUAGAAACUGUCCAAGUUGAGAAUAAAUUUGCUCAUAUGUAAAAACGGUUUUAUUUUUUAUUUACGCGAGUUUUUCCUGCUUUUUAAUAGACCAUUUGAGUAUGUUACCCUAUGGAUCGUUGAAGGUAACAUUCUUCAUUAUAUAAGCUUUCUUUGACGCUUAAAACCUUCUUGCAAGCGUGAUCGCCACGCGUGGUUUUCGCGAAUCAUUUACCAGGUCACAGAGUAUCAUAGCAGAGUACAUACGACACAGAGGUGGAAAUUGUAGUAAGCUUUUCUCUUUCAAGAGUCGUGGAAAACAAAAUUUUCUGGGGUGUGCAACACUUGAGACUGAUAGGUUUCUUAAUAUGUAAAUUUUAUUUGCCGUCAACAUCAAAGGCUUUGCUAAACCUAAAGCAAAAACGUUGGUUUUAACUUGGUAAACGUUGGUAUGGAAGAAAUGGUGCAACCAAGCAUGAAAAGGACUCUUGAAGGAGAGAAGCUUACUACCAUUGAUCAUCAGCCUGGAAGCACCAUCAACACCAGGAAUUUAACCAACAAUCACCUCUCCUGUGUUGAGGCAUCAUCACGCAAGGCCAACAAGAAACUGCUUCAUUAGAUAGCUUAAGAUCUACGAUGUCGACGCCAGCUAGGACGUCAGGGCUAAGCAGAGGACUGGGACUAGGACGUCGUCCUGAAUAAGUCGAUAGCUCAAGUAUCUACGACGUCAAAUAUUUAGGGCGGCAAGCAGAAGUGAAUUGGUUAUAGUUUUUGAAGUAUGCAUGUGUCUCUCUCAAUUUGCUCGUCGUUCACCAAACGUCGCCAACCUCACAACAAGAGUUUUACCGUCGUAAAUACCUGUACAAGAGCAUAACAAACGGUAAUGGGUUCACACGGCUCUUUUAAAUUCAUUUUCAAAAGUAUGUACAUUUUUAUAGUUUAAAUGUCUAAGUCGUAAAACUUAAUAUAUAAGUGGAAGUUUAUUUAUUUAGGACGACGUCCCAGUCCUAUGCUUUAUAGCUGUGACGUCCUAGCUGGCGUCGACGUCGUAGAUCUUAAGCUAUCUAUUGUGUCAAGUAUGGCGUUCGUUAAGCCGGCCAUUUCUCGGUUUUGAUAAAGUUUCAAAAACUAAGUAGAGUCCAUCUUUUCAAAGGGAAGCGAAAUAGAAAGGCGCGGCAAGAGAAUUUACAGUAUCACUUCCAUUGCUGACACGAUAAGUGAAAAGGUGGCACUUGCCAAAUAUGCGCGUAUGUCAAGGAAUAUCUGAAGUGAAAAAUAAGUUUUCCGUAUGAGAGUGGAACAAGGAGUUUGUAAUGAAUGCUACAGUACUUUGUGACAUCUUUAGCUGAGAUGGAUGACUUGGAGGGUCAGACGCUGAUUCCAUCAAGAAAGGCGUUGGCUUUCAGAAUCUACAAGAGAGUUCAGACCCAAUUAAAGGAUCUAUGGUUGACAUGUAUUUAACUGGCUGUGAAAGAUGCUAUGAAUGCUCCAGUUGUCCCAAAAGCCGAGCAGCUUUACACCUGACAAUCUACAUACAACCUAUUGAAAGAAUCUGGUACCCUAAAAGAAAAGGUUAAGAAACCUGCCACAAGUCUCGAUAUUACUGUGCUACAACUGACAAGUAUCUAUGGCACACACUUUGUCAGCCUUCGAGACAAAGCAUCAUGGCCUACUUCAUUGGUCUUCGAGGAAGGUGUAAUCAUGAUCCAUCGGUGAUUUGCAAGACCGAAAGAUGUCGUUGAUGUUGACAGCAUUCUUCGAUAUAUCAAAAUGGAAGAUGAUAGCAGUGUCGUUGAAGCACGUAAAUAUUGCAGGUGACAGGGAGUCCCAUGCUUGCUACGCGUAGACAAUAGUCGGUCAUCUUUUUUGUGGGACAAAAGCUAAGAAUGCUUCCCGAAUCCCGCGUUGCUAUCUUUGAAGCUCGUUUUGACGAUUUUAGCAAUUCCGUGUUUAUAAGUCCAUGCAGUUGCUAGGUACUAAAUUUUGGAAUUCUUUGGCAACAAGGAAUCUUAUACCAUGUCUUUAAUAUCACUGUAAUAAUUAAUUAACAGAAUGCACUAAAAAUGCACUAAAUAUGAUGGAAAGAUGGAAAUUAUUAAGACUCUGCCGGGAAACUGGUCGGUGCUGAAAGUUCAAUAAUGCAUACCUCAUGUUCGAAAAGUUAAUAGAAUUGCCAUAAUAUAUGUAAUAUAGUUAAAGUUUGCGAGUUCACGGCAACCAGGUUUAAUAUCAGUCAUGUUUUCGCCCGCUAAUCCGAUUUUUAAAUAAAUUUUACAUUCACAUUCGUGUCAACAUUUCAGUUUAGUGUCUUUAUCACUCAUCAGGAGUGACCUGAAGUCGCAACACGGAGCUUCUUACAGUAUACACUCGAGAGAUGACGUCAUCUGCCAACAAGGUGCAGAUCAUCUCUAUUCAAAGCAUGAUUUUACUUUGACCCUAUCCUUGGCCAUUUUCCACAAUGGUAUUCACCUUGGGAAAGUGUAGGACUUUUGAGGACAAGGUUUGGGAGCAGGGGCAACGAUGCUAAGCAACCUGCUGCCAGAUAUUCACAGUGUUUCCGAUACAAAGAUUCGAUAUAUCCCUGUGUCCCAUUUCUGGUAGCAAUGAUAGCCUCAAAGACAUGAAAUGUGUCUCAUUUCCAAACUUGGCACGGUCCAUCCCAUGGUAUUAUUGAGCGUUUUCCCCAUGCUUAAUUUCAUCCGCUAUGCCUGACUUCAACAGCAGUGUGCCUUAUAUUUAUUUGUCCUCGUACAUUCCAUGUAUAUUCCUUUAUUAUGAUUUUGCAGUGUGAUUUACAUUUUUGUUUACAUGCACGUCCAUCUGAUUUUGUUUACACAGCCUCUCGUAACAUUUUUCUAGAAUGAAUAACCUGUUAAACUUACUGACUUCUCCCCUCCGCCUAAAAUAUGAACUACUGUGUCGUAAAAAAGCUGGUAUGAGUUUAAUUAUUUAUGAAAUUUGAGGCGUAAAAUGUUUGCAGCGGUUAAUUUUCAGUCCCAAUGAAAUUGUCAAAUAUAUUUUUGUGUAGCCAUUAUCAAAUCACCUGAAUACAGAGAAAGAACUGAUGAAACAUAUCGAG